RNAcentral lists this ribosomal RNA (461 nucleotides) under uncultured bacterium. Its description in RNAcentral is "SSU rRNA". It matches the Rfam family "Bacterial small subunit ribosomal RNA", at positions 26 to 518 of the family's 1533-position model. The record is from RNAcentral.
AGAAUCAACGCUGGCGGCGUGCCUAACACAUGCAAGUCGCACGAGAAAGGGACUUCGGUCCUGAGUAAAGUGGCGCACGGGUGAGUAACACGUGAAUAAUCUACCUCCGAGUGGGGAAUAACUGAGAGAAAUCUUAGCUAAUACCGCAUAAUACCCACGGGUCAAAGCAGCAAUGCGCUUGGAGAGGAGUUCGCGGCAGAUUAGUUAGUUGGCGGGGUAAUGGCCCACCAAGACGAUGAUCUGUAUCCGGCCUGAGAGGGCGCACGGACACACUGGAACUGAAACACGGUCCAGACUCCUACGGGAGGCAGCAGUGGGGAAUUUUUGCGCAAUGGGGGAAACCCUGACGCAGCAACGCCGCGUGGAGGAUGAAGCCCCUUGGGGUGUAAACUCCUUUCGAUCGGGAAGAUAAUGACGGUACCGAUAUAAGAAGCCCCGGCUAACUUCGCGCCAGCAGCCGC